CCUACGGGUGGCAGCAGUGAGGAAUAUUGGUCAAUGGGCGGGAGCCUGAACCAGCCAAGUCGCGUGAGGGACGACGGUCCUAUGGAUUGUAAACCUCUUUUGUCGGGGAACAAAGGCGCCCACGGGUGGGCGGAUGAGUGUACCCGAAGAAAAAGCAUCGGCUAACUCCGUGCCAGCAGCCGCGGUAAUACGGAGGAUGCGAGCGUUAUCCGGAUUUAUUGGGUUUAAAGGGUGCGUAGGCGGACAGUCAAGUCAGCGGUAAAAAUGCGGUGCUCAACGCCGUACAGCCGUUGAAACUGGCAGUUCUGAGUACAGUAGAGGUGGGCGGAAUUCGUGGUGUAGCGGUGAAAUGCUUUGAUAUCACGAAGAACUCCGAUUGCGAAGGCAGCUCACUGGACUGCAACUGACACUGAGGCUUGAAAGUGUGGGUAUCAAACAGGAUUAGAUACCCCAGUAGUC
Molecule: ribosomal RNA, 459 nt
Filed under: uncultured bacterium
Lineage: Bacteria
Description: partial 16S ribosomal RNA
Rfam family: Bacterial small subunit ribosomal RNA
Source: RNAcentral